Molecule: ribosomal RNA, 254 nt
Filed under: uncultured bacterium
Lineage: Bacteria
Description: partial 16S ribosomal RNA
Rfam family: Archaeal small subunit ribosomal RNA
Source: RNAcentral
UACCAGCACCCCGAGUGGUCGGGACGUUUAUUGGGCCUAAAGGCAUCCGUAGCCGGUUCUACAAGUCCCCCGUUAAAUCCAGCUGCUUAACAGAUGGGCUGCGGAGGAUACUAUAAGACUAGGAGGCAGGAGAGGCAAGCGGUACUCAGUGGGUAGGGGUAAAAUCCGUUGAUCCAUUGAAGACCACCAGUGGCGAAGGCGGCUUGCCAGAAUGCGCUCGACGGUGAGGGAUGAAAGCUGGGGGAGCAAACCGG